AUAAAUGAGCUGCUUCUCAGGCCUUUUGGUCCAGAGAAUAGAGCAAUGGAAAGUCAAAAAGGCUUUCGAAGAGAAGAAAGGGGUGGACGGUUUGUGUGUUCUGGCAUGGAAGGAGACUCUUCAGCUUGUCUAAAAGAAGCAUCUCCAUUUGGAAGAUGAUUACAUGUCAGCUGCCAAGAUCUCCAUUAGGAGGUUUGUGUUUCCUUCCAACAUUAAAGAAUAUCUCUAACAUCUGUAGCAAUGAAUGGAGAGAAGUGUCGGUUCUGCUUCCGAAACAAGCAAUGUCCCAAUUUGAAAGAAGAAAAAUGUGAAAUAAUGACUAUAGCUUCGGAGACUUCUGUUGGGUAGCCAAAAAUGUGCAAAGUCUCUUCCAAGGCUUGAUCUUCAGAGUUGGUUCU
RNAcentral lists this long non-coding RNA (398 nucleotides) under Struthio camelus australis. RNAcentral describes it as "lncRNA (ENSSCUG00000017929.1)". The record is from RNAcentral. Lineage: Eukaryota; Metazoa; Chordata; Aves; Struthioniformes; Struthionidae.